Molecule: ribosomal RNA, 301 nt
Filed under: uncultured bacterium
Lineage: Bacteria
Description: partial 16S ribosomal RNA
Rfam family: Bacterial small subunit ribosomal RNA
Source: RNAcentral
CAGUAGCCGCGGGAAUACGUAGGCGGCAAGCGUUGUCCGGAUUUACUGGGCGUAAAGCGAACGCAGGCGGACUGUUAAGUAGGAGUGAAAGGUCGGAGCUCAACUCCAACAUUGCUUCCUAUACUGGCAGUCUUGAGUAGCGGAGAGGAAGGGGGAACGACACGUGUAGCGGUGAAAUGCGUUGAUAUGUGUCGGAACACCCAUGGCAAAAGCACCCUUCUGGACGCAAACUGACGCUCAGGUUCGAAAGCCAAGGUAGCGAACAGGAUUAGAGACCCCAGUAGUCCCUGUCUCUUAUACA